RNAcentral lists this ribosomal RNA (450 nucleotides) under uncultured bacterium. RNAcentral's name for it is "partial 16S ribosomal RNA". It matches the Rfam family "Bacterial small subunit ribosomal RNA", at positions 354 to 796 of the family's 1533-position model. The record is from RNAcentral.
GUGGGGAAUUUUGGACAAUGGGCGCAAGCCUGAUCCAGCAAUGCCGCGUGCAGGAAGAAGGCCUUCGGGUUGUAAACUGCUUUUGUACGGAACGAAACGGUCCUGGUUAAUACCUGGGGCUAAUGACGGUACCGUAAGAAUAAGCACCGGCUAACUACGUGCCAGCAGCCGCGGUAAUACGUAGGGUGCGAGCGUUAAUCGGAAUUACUGGGCGUAAAGCGUGCGCAGGCGGUGCUGUAAGACAGGCGUGAAAUCCCCGGGCUCAACCUGGGAAUUGCGCUUGUGACUGCAGUGCUGGAGUACGGCAGAGGGGGAUGGAAUUCCGCGUGUAGCAGUGAAAUGCGUAGAUAUGCGGAGGAACACCGAUGGCGAAGGCAGUCCCCUGGGCCUGCACUGACGCUCAUGCACGAAAGCGUGGGGAGCAAACAGGAUUAGAAACCCGGGUAGUCC